UUGAUAAAGCUGACAGGAAGCGACUUUUUGAUAUGAUAAAUGAUGUUCCGACAAUAUAUGAAGUUGUGACUGGUGGUGAAAAGAAACAAGUGAAGGAGAAGUCAUCUGUCACCAAUCACAGUAGCAACAAAUCCAAGUCAAACUCCAAAGUGCGAGAAUCUCAGGGAAAGUUUUCAGAAGCAUCACAGCCAAAGGAUGAAGAUGAGGUCUUGGAUGAGGAAGAUACUGACGAGCAUGGGGAGACAUUAUGUGGUG
Molecule: unclassified non-coding RNA, 255 nt
Filed under: Hevea brasiliensis (rubber tree)
Lineage: Eukaryota; Viridiplantae; Streptophyta; Magnoliopsida; Malpighiales; Euphorbiaceae
Source: RNAcentral